Molecule: ribosomal RNA, 400 nt
Filed under: uncultured bacterium
Lineage: Bacteria
Description: bacterial SSU rRNA
Rfam family: Bacterial small subunit ribosomal RNA
Source: RNAcentral
GGGGAAUCUUAGACAAUGGGGGAAACCCUGAUCUAGCCAUGCCGCGUGAGUGACGAAGGCCUUAGGGUUGUAAAGCUCUUUCAGCUGUGAAGAUAAUGACGGUAGCAGCAGAAGAAGUCCCGGCUAACUCCGUGCCAGCAGCCGCGGUAAUACGGAGGGGACUAGCGUUGUUCGGAAUUACUGGGCGUAAAGCGCACGUAGGCGGAUCGAAAAGUUGGGGGUGAAAUCCCGGGGCUCAACCCCGGAACUGCCUUCAAAACUAUUGGUCUGGAGUUCGAGAGAGGUGAGUGGAAUUCCGAGUGUAGAGGUGAAAUUCGUAGAUAUUCGGAGGAACACCAGUGGCGAAGGCGGCUCACUGGCUCGAUACUGACGCUGAGGUGCGAAAGCGUGGGGAGCAAAC